This 726-nucleotide ribosomal RNA is filed under the name uncultured bacterium. Its description in RNAcentral is "bacterial SSU rRNA". It matches the Rfam family "Bacterial small subunit ribosomal RNA", at positions 336 to 1078 of the family's 1533-position model. The record is from RNAcentral.
CUCCUACGGGAGGCAGCAGUGGGGAAUUUUGCGCAAUGGGGAAACCCUGACGCAGCAACGCCGCGUGGAGGAUGAAAUAUCUUGGUAUGUAAACUCCUUUCGAUGGGGAAGAUUAUGACGGUACCCAUAGAAGAAGCCCCGGCUAACUUCGUGCCAGCAGCCGCGGUAAUACGAGGGGGGCAAGCGUUGUUCGGAUUUAUUGGGCGUAAAGGGUGCGUAGGCGGUUUGGCAAGUCUGAUGUGAAAUCUAUGGGCUCAACCCAUAGUCUGCAUCAGAAACUGCCGGGCUUGAGUAUGGGAGAGGUGAGUGGAAUUUCCGGUGUAGCGGUGAAAUGCGUAGAUAUCGGAAGGAACACCUGUGGCGAAAGCGGCUCACUGGACCAUAACUGACGCUGAUGCACGAAAGCUAGGGGAGCAAACAGGAUUAGAUACCCUGGUAGUCCUAGCCCUAAACGAUGAUUGUUUGAUGUGGCAGGUACCCAAUCCUGCCGUGUCGAAGCUAACGCGAUAAACAAUCCGCCUGGGGAGUACGGUCGCAGGGCUGAAACUCAAAGGAAUUGACGGGGGCCCGCACAAGCGGUGGAGCAUGUGGUUUAAUUCGACGCAACGCGAAGAACCUUACCUGGGCUCGAAAUGUAGUGGAAUCCGGCAGAAACGUCGGCGUCUAGCAAUAGACCGCUAUAUAGGUGCUGCAUGGCUGUCGUCAGCUCGUGUCGUGAGAUGUUGG